UACGUAGGGGGCAAGCGUUAUCCGGAUUUACUGGGUGUAAAGGGGGCGCAGACGGCGAUGCAAGCCAGGAGUGAAAGCCCGGGGCCCAACCCCGGGACUGCUCUUGGAACUGCGUGGCUGGAGUGCAGGAGGGGCAGGCGGAAUUCCUGGUGUAGCGGUGAAAUGCGUAGAUAUCAGGAAGAACACCAGUGGCGAAGGCGAUUCUCUGGACUGUGACUGACGCUGAGGCUCGAAAGCGUGGGGAGCAAACAGG
RNAcentral lists this ribosomal RNA (253 nucleotides) under uncultured bacterium. RNAcentral's name for it is "partial 16S ribosomal RNA". It matches the Rfam family "Bacterial small subunit ribosomal RNA", at positions 524 to 776 of the family's 1533-position model. The record is from RNAcentral.